This 424-nucleotide unclassified non-coding RNA is filed under the name soil metagenome. Its description in RNAcentral is "partial contains 5.8S ribosomal RNA, internal transcribed spacer 2, and large subunit ribosomal RNA". The stretch from base 1 to 119 matches the Rfam family "5.8S ribosomal RNA", at positions 35 to 154 of the family's 154-position model. The record is from RNAcentral.
GAUGAAGAACGUAGCGAAAUGCGAUAAGUAGUGUGAAUUCAGAAUUCCGUGAAUCAUCGAAUCUUUGAACGCACAUUGCGCCUUCUGGUAUUCCGGAAGGCAUGCCUGUUCGAGAGUCAUUAACAACCGUUUCGAUCCCUUUCUUUCAGAAAUUACAAAGAGGAAAAGGGUUUGGUUAUGGUGGAGGAGGGAAAGGGAGCGUUUAGCCUGUAAAAAAAGAGGCUGUGUUCCGCCUCCCCCCCAAAAUUGUACAGGCGGUCGUGUGCGCCCACGCAUCGAGGUGUUGUAAAAGCUGCCACGGCACUUUUCACCUGUGCAGUGCGAGAUUGGCCAGCCGGUUUAAAAACCCCUCCAAACAAUCAAAGGUUGACCUCGGAUCAGGUAGGGAUACCCGCUGAACUUAAGCAUAUCAAUAAGCGGAGGA